UCAAAAAGAAUUUGAAAUUUGAGCAAGAGCUUCAGAACCCAAUAGAUGUGCCAGAUAACUUCUUGAUUGGUAAAUAUCUCUUUCAAUACAAUUACAAUCCAAAUUGUUGGCAAAAUUUAAGACUUUCUUUCACUGGAACUAAGGGGCCCAAAUCUAUUCCCAUAUUAUAAUGCACCUGUGCACAAAGAUCCAUGAACAUGGUUUACUCAAAAGCAGGCCUCCCAGAAUCCAGAUCUCAACUUCACUGAAUAGGUAACUUUUAGGAUUAAUUAUAAUGACAGCUUCACACUGGGCCUUAACCAUCCAGCAUUUGUGACCAACUACUUAGCUGUAUUGUGGCUGAAAUCCCCACAGCCACAUCACUCUUCUGGAAGGCUUCCCACUAUAUUUUGUGAAGCCUGUUAUGGCAGCAAUGGAGAUUUUAGAGUGUGCGUAGCUGGGAAAUGAUAAAAGACUAAAAAUUCACACCGGUUCGUUGUCAAGACCAUUUACUCUUAGAUAUAUUUGAUGUUAUAUUUUGACCUAUGCCUACAUUGUAAGGUAUGUGGGAUUCCACUUGGGCAGUGGUCAGGUGUGUCCCCAAACUGAUUGGGCCUCAGGCAGGCAAUCACUUUUAUCAAGACCAAAAACGUAGUUUCUGGGGCAGGGUUGGCAAUUCUUAAACGUUCUUGCAUAGUUUUGCACACAUUACCAGCUUGCUGACUAAACUUACUAAAAAGGAAGUGCCAGAUCCGGCCCAGAGGAUGAAGCAAUGCAAGCAGACUUUCUGCCAGAUGGCUGCAUCAGACAGAGGACUGAGGACUGUUCAGGCCCAGGAGGUGAAGGGGGAAGAGAACUCUAUGCCACAUCAGACAGAGGGCUGUCAGUAAAGUAGACCAAGCACAGGAUAAUUGGAGUAUAUGGUCAAGUGGUUGCCAACGUAUGGGAUGACCUAAAGAGCUCCACCUCAUGAAGGAUGCCAAUGCACCGAUCAUUAGUUAGUAUCAGGUACUUCAGCCAUUCAUAUGGUGGAGGUAGCAUGCAGCAGCUGGGACAUGGUCAAGUAUCAGCUGUGGAAGGAGGUCAGUCAAACCCGAAAUAAAUAAACUUCAACCAGAUAGAGCAAAAGUUAAUCUGGGAUAUUAGCUGUUUUCUGUUGUAUGGACGUGUAGUGAAAAGCACAGAGCAGUCUCAUCACUGCUAUCAUUACUGGCUCUCUAACAUCUGGUCAUAUACCAUCUGCCUUCAGGAAAGCAAAGGUUACUCGCAUCCUGAAGAAACCUGCUCUGGAUUCCUUAAUCAACUACAGACAAGUAUCACUUCUUUCUUGCCAUUCUAAAUUCCAUGAAAGCACCUCAAAGAUCCCAAACCAUCUAGCUUCAAAGCACACAGAUACUGUUAUUUCAGCUAUCACUGAGAGCUUCAUGUUGCUAGAUCAGUCAAACUGUUAUCAAUCCUCACAUUCAAAAGCGCUUCUCUAAGUCACACGGGACAGGGGUGUCUGCCAAAUGCAAUGGACAUUUUUGUGGAUGAAUGAAACAAAGAUGUAAAACCACUUGUAUGAGAAUGGAGUACAGAGAAGUAAAAGGCUCAUGAUAAAAGCAUACAUAAUCUGUGAAACAUACUGGAGGCAGUGACAUCUAUGGCAGAAAUCAACCCAACUUUUCAUAGGUUUCAAAUACUGAAGAAAAAACCGACAAAAAAGAACAAGGCAGCUGAUGUAAAAACCAAUGAAUGAAGCUUCAUCAUUUGGAGAUGUCUAGUAGUUCCAGACUUCAGACAGUAUCUGGCUGCAAAGGAUCUGCAUCCAAGUAGUAAAAAUAGUUUUGGAAAAUACCUUUUAAUAAAGCUAGAAGUCUACACUACAAUGGUUAGAACAGAACAGAACAGAGGGCAUAGAAGCCUUUAUUAUCACCACAUAUACAUUACAGCACAGUGGAAUUCUUUUCUUCACAUACCCCAACAGAGGAGGUUGGGGUCAGAGUGCAGGGGCAGCUAUGAUACAGCGCCCCUGGAGUAGGGAGGGUCGAGGGCCUUGUGGCAGCUUGGCUGUGCUGGGCCUUGCACCUCGAUCCUCCGAUCAACAACCCAGAGCCUUAACCAGUUGAGCCACCACUGACCCCUGGUUUUCACAUAUCCCAGGCUAUUAUGAGCCUGGGGUCAGAGCACAAGGUCAGCCAUCGUGCGGCGCCUUUGGAGCAGGUGAGGUUAAGGGCCUUGCUCAAGGACCCAGCAUAGAUGUCUCAGCAGCUUGUGGCCUUGAACCCCCACCUUCUGAUUAGGAGCCCAGCAACUGGACCGCUGGACCAUCACGUCCUUACUUAGCUUAGCUUUUGUUUGUAAUAAAGUUUGAAGGUGAGAGUAGAGUACCUUAUUUACAAAUAUAUACACAACUAAAUGCAAGAAUAGAAAGACAAAAUGGGAAAUGGACAUUUUAUUUUACUCACACCAGUGUAUAUUUCAGCCACAAUUUAAUUAAAUCUUAAAAUGUGUUGAUUAAAAUAUAUUGAUUAAAACAGAAAAGGGAUAUAGACAAUUACAAGACAAAAGUACAUUAAUCAGUUUUUUUUCCUGGUAAGAGAACAU
Molecule: long non-coding RNA, 2565 nt
Organism: Tachysurus fulvidraco (yellow catfish)
Lineage: Eukaryota; Metazoa; Chordata; Actinopteri; Siluriformes; Bagridae
Exons: 2
Source: RefSeq, a predicted model, not a curated record